CAGUAGCCACGGUAAAACGUAGGGUGCAAGCGUUAAUCGGAAUUACUGGGCGUAAAGCGUGCGCAGGCGGUUAUAUAAGACAGAUGUGAAAUCCCCGGGCUCAACCUGGGAACUGCAUUUGUGACUGUAUAGCUAGAGUACGGCAGAGGGGGAUGGAAUUCCGCGUGUAGCAGUGAAAUGCGUAGAUAUGCGGAGGAACACCGAUGGCGAAGGCAAUCCCCUGGGCCUGUACUGACGCUCAUGCACGAAAGCGUGGGGAGCAAACAGGAUUAGAUACCCCGGUAGUCCCUGUCUCUUAUAC
Molecule: ribosomal RNA, 301 nt
Filed under: uncultured bacterium
Lineage: Bacteria
Description: partial 16S ribosomal RNA
Rfam family: Bacterial small subunit ribosomal RNA
Source: RNAcentral